CCCGGACCUCAAGCGUGGCCGUAUUGAAUCGCGCCACGAAGUGUCGGAGCGUCUCAUUCUCUCCCUGUUUGAGGGAGAAAAGGCUGUCCGACGUUCGCGGCGGCUUCCGGCUGGUGCUGAAGUGAGCCACGAAAGAGUGCUCGAGCUGUCCGAAGGAGUGGAUACUUUCCGAUCGAAGACCGGAGUACCAGGCCCUGGCAGCCUUGCGGAGUGUGGCGGGGAAGCCGAUGCAAAAGAGAGCGUCGGUUGCCCCCUAAAUCAUCAUGAGAGCUUUGUAGCUCUUAAGGUGGUCGAUUGGGUCGGUGGAGCCAUCGUAUGGCUCCACGUGCGGCAUCUUGAACCGACUGGAGAUCGGUUCGUCGAGAACGAGUCGAGAGAGAGGUUGGGCGGUCUGGAAGUCGACGUCGUUCGAAGACUUCUGGCCGUCCACCUGCAACUGCGUAAGCCGACGGUCGAUUUCCUCGAACCUGCGCUCGUAGUCGUCCGUCCGUCGGUGCUGGGAGACCCCAGG
This 511-nucleotide long non-coding RNA is filed under the name Elaeis guineensis (African oil palm). Its description in RNAcentral is "long non-coding RNA (EGUI_LNC016201)". Lineage: Eukaryota; Viridiplantae; Streptophyta; Magnoliopsida; Arecales; Arecaceae. The record is from RNAcentral.